Molecule: unclassified non-coding RNA, 176 nt
Filed under: uncultured Cryptococcus
Lineage: Eukaryota; Fungi; Basidiomycota; Tremellomycetes
Description: sequence contains ITS2
Source: RNAcentral
UAUAAUCAAUCCCCAUGGGUUUCAUUACCUGGCGGUGGACUUGGACUUGGGUGUCUGCCAUCUGGGCUCACCUCAAAGAUGUUAGCGGGAUAAGCUGCCUGUGGCUCGACGUGAUAAGUUUCGUCGGACCUGGCUCCCUAUGCCCGCUCAUAACCUGCCCUUGGGCAACACUGUAU